UACGUAGGGCGCAAGCGUUGUCCGGAAUUAUUGGGCGUAAAGAGCUCGUAGGCGGUUUGUCGCGUCUGCUGUGAAAACCUAAGGCUCAACCUUGGGCUUGCAGUGGGUACGGGCAGACUAGAGUGUGGUAGGGGAGACUGGAAUUCCUGGUGUAGCGGUGAAAUGCGCAGAUAUCAGGAGGAACACCGAUGCGAAGGCAGGUCUCUGGGCCACUACUGACGUGGAGAAAGCGAAAGCAUG
Molecule: ribosomal RNA, 240 nt
Filed under: uncultured bacterium
Lineage: Bacteria
Description: partial 16S ribosomal RNA
Rfam family: Bacterial small subunit ribosomal RNA
Source: RNAcentral